Molecule: long non-coding RNA, 6289 nt
Organism: Dunckerocampus dactyliophorus (ringed pipefish)
Lineage: Eukaryota; Metazoa; Chordata; Actinopteri; Syngnathiformes; Syngnathidae
Exons: 8
Source: RefSeq, a predicted model, not a curated record
UUCAUGAUGAUGUCAUCAACACUGAAUGAGUGUGUUCUUAAUUAGCAUGUGCUGGGGGGGCUUACCUGAGCUGGUCCUGUGGAUGGGGCUGCUUGGAGUCAACUCGUCCCCCUGCGGCUCUGAGAGAGUGUCUUUGAGGUCAGUGGAAGGGGCGGCGUCGAUGGCUGAAGGAUCAGCGGCGCUCUGAGGUUCUGCUGCAAGCUGCUCCGUCUCAGACUGACUCUCUGUGGGAAACAGAAAUCAGAAUCGGAAUCAGAACCAGCACAAUGUCAUUUAACAUCGAUAAUGACGACAAUGUCAUCACGCAGGUAGCAAGCUGCUUUGCUACCUGCGCUCUCGUGUGAGCCUUCGUCGCCUUCUUUCUUGACGAGGACACCGUUGCGUCGCAGUGUUCUGUUUGUGACGCCGUGCUUCCUCAGCAGGUGGCGCUCACAGUUGGACUUGGUGGAGAAAAAGGCGUCGCAGCGUGGACACGGGAACGGCUUCUGGCCUGAAGAGGAUGCACACGUUGGGUCAGAGCAGAGCAAGAUGGCUGAUCACAUGGCAUUGUAGCGAGGCAAGCGUUACCAGUGUGCGUCAACAUGUGUCUCUGCAGAGAGCUGGCCCAAGGGAAGACUCGAGGACAGAAGGGACACGUCAUCUUCUGGACAGAGUUGGAGUAUGCGUUCUUCUUCCCUUUUGAUUGCGGAAGCAACACUGACGUCUUCACUUCCUCUCGUGGGCCACCGUCCUUGUCUCUGCCUCCUCCUUCUUGCUCGCCAUCUGCUCAGAGACACGUGUUAAGUCUCAGGUGUGUGUUAGGGCGUGUGUUUGAACCUUUGGCCUUUGCUCCCUCUGACCUCUCUUGGCUGCAAGUUCGCCGGCCCCCGUCUGCAGGUAGGUGCUGAACUUGUUGGCAUCUGUAGUGGCGAGCAUCUUUUCCACACUGGCAAACUCGCCGCUGGACUCGAGGUCGACAGCGCUGCUCAGAAUGUUCUGGUCCUUGAUGGCAAGGGUGGCAGUCUUCUUCCUGGUUCUCUUCCUGUUGGACAGAACCACAUGAAGCAAACACAUGACUCCAAUCAUAAACAACAUGACGAUAGUUGACAUCGAGAGUCGCUCUCUGACCUGUUGCUGUCAUCACUUGGCAUCUCCUGCAGGGUGGAGCUUCCUGGAGCGUCUGAGGUGGAUUCAGGAGCUGGUUGAGGUUUUCCCUCCAACGAGGCCGCCUCCCUCUUCAGCAGGUCUGGAGCGCCGGACACUGAGUGGAUGAUCUGAGCUAUGGAUGCCAGAGGCGGGAGCUCUUUGAGGGCAGUAGGAGGAGCAGAGGUGGAGGAGGCAGGCUUUGGAAGGAGGGGCUUGAGGCGCUGAGGUCGUGUAGAGGUGCUGAGGUUGGCGAGGGAAGUGGGGGGAGGUGUGGAUCCAGGGGUGAAUUGGUAGCAGCCCACAGGCAGCGUGCCCCCCAUCUUGUCUUCUUUGGCGACGACGUGCUGCUCGAUGAUGUUGCCGCCAUUUUGCUCCAUCUUGAUCUCCCGUUUCUCACUGACAAUGACCGCUUCCCUCCUCUGUCUCUUGCUGGGUAUGGACAGGUCAAUGGGCUGGUCCAGGGCAGGGCAGUCCAGACUAGGGGAGAGAGUCUCCAUUUUGACCCCAGGAGAUGCCACAUGGGCUCCACGACCUUUGGCAGAGAAAUCCAGAGGUUGGUCCAGUUCUUCAAGAUAAACGGUGUUAGUCACUCCCUCCAACUUGACGGCCUGGAUGGGUGGCUGACUCAGCCCGUUGGCAGUCAUCACAGUAACCGGUGGGGCACGAGCAGAGGUGACAGUGGCAGCGGGCUGAAGCGUGGCAAUGUGCUCCUCGAUCUCACGCUCCUGCACCUCGGGGUGCUGCUUGAGCAAGUGGUGGAUGCAGUUUCGCUUGGCCAGGAAGGCGGCGCCACAGCGUCUGCACUCAAAUGGCUUCCUCUGACAGCCGUUGUGCGUGCGCAAGUGGAUCUGCAAGGCCCGGUACGUCUUCAGGUCCUCGCCGCAGAACCGGCACGCAGUCUCUGCUCCGGCACUUCCUGUCCCGAUGUCCACGGCGGUGGUGCCAGUGGUGAUCGCGUUUGUGAUGAUGUUUGGAGUGGUCGAAAAGACACACUUGAUGUUUUUCUCAAUGUCCUUCCGGGAUGUCUUGGCAUGCUUCUUCCUGAGGUGGCGCUCACAGUUGGCCUUGACAGUGAAGGGAUAGUGGCAGACGCGGCAGAUGUAUGGACGCUCGCCGCUGUGUGUGCGCAAGUGUCGUAUGAGUGUGGCCUUGUCGGGGGCCACGUAGUCGCAGAUGUUGCACUGAUGAGGCAGGAUACCCAGAUGGAAGCGCAUGUGAGCCUGUAGGACGCCCGAGAAGGAGAACACCUGGUCACAGAAGCGACACGGGAAGGAGCCUUUGGCCGAACCAGCGUUGGCGGCGCUGCCGUCAUUAACUGCUUUGCUUCCUGGUUUCUUCCCACUAAGCCCCACCUCUUCAUGCACAGCGGUGGUGGCCACAGGCGGCGAAUCAGACAGAGGACACUCAGCUUCCAAGUGGCCACCACCCGCUGCUGACGAGGAGGACGAAGAGGAGGAGGAGGGCGUUUUGAAGAGGGUGGGAGUCGGGGGAGGCAGGCUUGGACUGAUGCAGCCCAGUGAGGCCUGCUGGGAACUCUGGAGAGGUGGGGGCGUUGUUGCAGUAAGGCUGGAGCGAGGCGUGAUCGGAGGCUUGGGUUUCAAUGGAGGCAUCGCCUUUUGGUUCUGGACUUGACCUGCAUGGCAGGGAAAAAAAAACAUAAAUUAAGAGAAACAAGCAUUUUAUAACAACACAAUGUCCUGAGGCCACACCCACCUUGGCCUCCAGUGAACCCUGUAGCUUUAGCUAUGGGGGGUAUGCUCAGUCCCAUCUGAUUGGGGGCUGUAGUGGCUACUUUCAGCAUUUGCUGUAUGUCUGCCAGCUCCAUGAUCCCGCCCACGUCACCAGGUUUGAUGCCAGACGUUGCUGCACCAGCGGCAGUCGUAGUUCCGUCAGGCUGCAUGAGGAAGCUCGCCUGAAAGGGCUGCAAGGAGAGCAGGCUGAGGGCGUCCCUCUUAGAGAGACCCUGCAAGGUAGACGUGGUGCCCGGCUGGUCCAGCAGGGGGAUGCUGAGUGCUGUCAGCCCGCCCACCCCCAAAGUCAGACCCAGACCACCUGACAGGUAGGCGUGCUCCUGCGGGAAACUUGAGCUCAGCGUCUCUACAUGGAUCACUUUGAUGCUGUCCAAGUGGGCCUGGUGGAUCUCAUCGUCUGUGGGUCCGGACUUGACCUGUGGGUGAAAUGAAGCAGAAGUCAGUAUUACAUCCGUUUGCCCUUACAACAGUUUUGUUUAUCGUCAAAAAGACACGCUACCUUAGAAAUGUGUUGGAGACCCAGUGCCUCCAGGAAAUUGGACUGCUGGGAAAGUAGAACAUCCUCAGCAUCACUGUGAUGCUCCUUGAUGUCAUUUUCUGUGGUGACGGCUUCUUCUUUCCCCUCAGUUUCAUGUUCGAUGGCGUCUGUGGGCGUGUCUACAUGGAUGGUGCUUUUGUGGAGCUCUAGUGCUGAGCGAAGCGGGAACGCCUUAUCGCAACACUCGCACACAAAGCGGUGGAACUUACUGACGCAGCGACGAAGGUUCGUCUCGCACCAGACCUGACCGAGACCACAAGGUGAAGACCCAUCCGACACUCAGACACAGGCAGUGAACUUAUCAAAGAUGGCAGUGGAUGGUUACCUGUGCAAUGUGAGCAAACUUCUUGCAGGAGAAAUCAAUGAAGGCCAAGUCGUUGAAGCCGGUGGGGAUGGAGGGAUUGUUCUGGAUGAAGGGGCGGCCGCUGGGGUCUUGGGGAAGGAUCUUGUGGACGCCUGCGUUGUGACGCAACAAGCCACGGUGGGUUCGAAAAGAAAGGCAGCAGAAGUCGCACCUGGAAACACAAGAACAUAUUUUCAUAUGUGGACUUCUCUAGGGGUGGGGGCUUCCUAGCUUCCUAGCUUGAAGAUGUGCUUUCAUUUUCACUGUUCAAUAUAGCCGCUAGGUGGUGAUAUUUCUCUUGAGCAAGGAUAACUAGUCUACUGUAGACGACUAAAGAAGCAGUAGUAAUCACACAGACUUUAUGCUUCUACAUAUCCAAGGAAAAAAUGUUCAAUCAACAAAGACAACCCUAAAGCACCACCUCCCCCACUACCCCAGUCACCCCCACUCCUCCCACAGUGGAUCCUCUUAUGGACUGAUUAGUGAGGAUUUACUUCUAAAUAUUCUUUACACCCUCCAUUGGGAGCUCAGCGCCACCUGCUGACCUCUUUCAUUCUACUUCCUGCUUCUCAUCUUUCCUCCUCCUUGCUCCUCAUCUAACACUUGCUCAAACUUGUGUUGACUGUUGUGUUGCUAUGGUGACAGACUACUGUCCUUGUUGCCAUUUGAGAAGGAGGGGGGUACAGAGUCGUCACAGCAACCAUGUCCAGUGGACCAUGAAAGACCCCCGCCUCCCAACACCAAUCCAUCCAUGCCGUUGAUCCUUCCCCUUCCCUCUCUGUCUGACCCUCACAGAUGGAUGAAUUUACUGUCUUUAUGGGAGGCCAGGCUCUCUUCAUGGGGGCUUGGCUGUCUCAAACCUUGUGUUGUGUUGUGUUGUGUUGUGUGUGUGUGUGUACCUCAGUGUGGUGUCAGGGUGUGUGUCCAUGUGUGUAUCCAGCUCCAGUCUGCUGCUGCAGGUCUUGAAGCAGAUGGGGCAAGGAAGAAGCUCCUCCUCCACGCAUCGGACCGCCACCGUCGUCGGCGCAGUCACUGGGGGCUCCUUAAAGGCGGAGUCCUCUGUCACCUGAAUGACAUCAUCAUCAUUUAGCUCCACCUUCGACAUGAUUAACUUUAAACUGGCAACUGUGAGAAAGCGCGCAAGGUAACCUUCUUGGAGGGUGGCUCGUCUCCGCUCUCAUCCUCCAUGCCUUGCCCCCUCUUCAUGGAUGGCCGCCGCCGCUUUGUGGGUGAGGGGGGGCUGACGGGGAGCAGACCGCUGGCCGGGUCCUUCUCGUGGAUCUUCAUGUGUCUGUUGAGAGGUAAGGAAAGAGGAACAAGGAAGCUUAUAAAGGAGGCGAGGAGACAGGCGAGUGUCUAUUAAUAGAAGCCCACAGGACCAAACAGGACGCCCAAAAGAGGUCCUGACAGCAGUCAUCACAUGUGACACCCACUAACAGGAAGUACUUUAUUCAUCAAACAGGACUAACUCCUGCUGGAAGAAACGAUGCUUCCAGGGAAGAUGGCAAAAACAAGCACGAGGCUGAGAUGAGGAAUGUUCUGCUUUAAGAAGACGUGCACGGACAAGUGCCGACAGCCUGAAGCAGUGAGGAGCAGGCCACCCCGCCUCCACGGGCCGAGCAGACGAGUGAGGCCGACAAAAGUUGCAGGAAGAGGAAGUGAGAGAGAAUCCGGCUUGACCAGAUGAGCCGAGUCAGAGCCUUCUGCCUCCAGCAUCUCCUUUUGAGCUGGAAGAGCGCAUCUCCAUGCAGAUGAGUCGCUACACGCAGACGCCAUCAUGUCUGCUCAUGCGGCAUCACGCUCCACCCUCUCUCAAAGGAACCCCAGGUAACCCCUCCACAAACAGACAAAAGCAAGGCUGGGGGCAUGCUGGUGCGCUGUGGUUGCCAUGACAACAAGUGACGUCAGCGGACAACCCCCCUCUUUCAAAACUUUGCUCUUAAGGCCAGAAAAGAGCGCAGCAUCCGUGACUUUAAAGGUUGAUCCUGCAAGAAAGCAACCUGAAGUAUCGCGAGAUUUUCAGCGAGGAAGGUAUAAGGAUGAUGCUAACGUCAGGCCUUGUUUUAAGCUAUGCUUUGUUAGCUUAGCGGGUAGCUUCAAACGCACACCUUGUCUUCUUGACUCAGGUAUUGUUUUAAAACAAUUUAAUCCCACUUGUUCUACCUUGACGUCAUCACCUUUACACCUGCCUCUCGUUUGGGGUCCAUUUCAAGAAAUGAUGCCUCCCCUCCAUCUCCCGCCAGGCCUCUUCCCAUCAUGCCCUGCUGUUCCUGCUGAUGAAGAUGACGACGACGACGACAAAGGUGGAUACAUAACUUGAAGAGGUCAAGCGAGCAUUGUGUAAAAUGUAAAUAAGUGGCAUGUGUCACAAACUGAUUUAGCGUACAGUUUAAAUAGUGAAACUAGGUUAGUUAGCUAGCAAACUGGUGUCGGCAUGCUUAUACAGUUUUAAUAGCAUUUGCAUUUAGAAAAUGUUAUGGACCUUUGAGCAUUUUAGCUAGCACAGCUUGAGCUCUUGUUGUUUUGUGAUGA